Molecule: ribosomal RNA, 515 nt
Filed under: uncultured microorganism
Description: bacterial SSU rRNA
Rfam family: Bacterial small subunit ribosomal RNA
Source: RNAcentral
GAGUUUGAUCGUGGCUCAGGAUGAACGCUGGCGGCGUGCCUAACACAUGCAAGUCGAACGGAGUUUAUGAGGAAGAAGCUUCGGCGGAAUUCUUAUAAACUUAGUGGCGGACGGGUGAGUAACACGUGGAGAACCUGCCUCUUACCGGGGGACAGCAGUUGGAAACGACUGAUAAUACCGCAUAAGCGCACGAGACCGCAUGGUCCUGUGUGAAAAGAUUUAUCGGUAAGAGAUGGCCCCGCGUCUGAUUAGCCAGUUGGCGGGGUAACGGCCCACCAAAGCGACGAUCAGUAGCCGGCCUGAGAGGGUGAACGGCCACAUUGGGACUGAGACACGGCCCAGACUCCUACGGGAGGCAGCAGUGGGGGAUAUUGCACAAAUGGAGGAAACUCUGAUGCAGCGACGCCGCGUGAGUGAAGAAGUAUUUCGGUAUGUAAAGCUCUAUCAGCAGGGAAGAAAGACUCGAAAGAGGGAUGACGGUACCUGAGUAAGAAGCCCGGCUAACUACGUGCCAG